GACGAACGCUGGCGGCGUGCUCCAUACAUGCUACCUCGAACGCUUUUCUUUCACCGAGACUUGUCAUCGCCGACAAGAAAAGAGUGGCGAACGGGUGAGUAACACAGUGGGUAACCUACCCUCGAGCGGGGCGAUAACAUUUGGACAACACGGUGCUAAUACCGCAUAAUAACAGAAGGAGCAUUUCUUUUGUUUGAAAGUCGCAAUUGCGACACUCGAGGAUGGACCCGACGGUGCAUUAGCUAGCUUAGGUGGGGUAACGGCUCACCAAGGCCACGAUAGCAUAGCCGACCUGAGAGUGGUGAUCGGCCACACUGGGACUGAGACACGGCCCAGACUCCUACGUGGAGGCAGCAGUAGGGACAUCUUCGGCAAUGGACGAAACGUCUGACCGAGCAACGCCGCGUGAGUGAAGAAGGUUUUCGGAUCGUAAAACUCUGUUGUAGAGAAGAACAAGGGUGAGAGAUGGAAAUGUUCCACCACCGUUGACAGGUAUCUAACCAGAAAGCCACACGGCAUAACUACGUGCCAGCAAGCCGCAGGUAAUACCGUAAAGUGGCAAAGCGUAGAUACGGAUUU
RNAcentral lists this ribosomal RNA (579 nucleotides) under uncultured bacterium. RNAcentral's name for it is "bacterial SSU rRNA". It matches the Rfam family "Bacterial small subunit ribosomal RNA", at positions 33 to 541 of the family's 1533-position model. The record is from RNAcentral.